RNAcentral lists this ribosomal RNA (253 nucleotides) under uncultured bacterium. RNAcentral describes it as "partial 16S ribosomal RNA". It matches the Rfam family "Bacterial small subunit ribosomal RNA", at positions 524 to 776 of the family's 1533-position model. The record is from RNAcentral.
UACAGAGGUCUCAAGCGUUGUUCGGAUUCAUUGGGCGUAAAGGGUGUGUAGGUGGCGCGCUAAGUCGGGUGUGAAAUUUCGGAGCUUAACUCCGAAACUGCAUUCGAUACUGGCGUGCUUGAGGACUGGAGAGGAGACUGGAAUUCAUGGUGUAGCAGUGAAAUGCGUAGAGAUCAUGAGGAAGACCAGUGGCGAAGGCGGCAUCCUGGACCGAUAUUGACGCUGAGGCGCGAAAGCCAGGGGAGCAAACGGG